GUGGGGAAUAUUGGACAAUGGGCGAAAGCCUGAUCCAGCAAUGCCGCGUGAGUGAUGAAGGCCCUAGGGUUGUAAAGCUCUUUUACCCGGGAUGAUAAUGACAGUACCGGGAGAAUAAGCUCCGGCUAACUUCGUGCCAGCAGCCGCGGUAAUACGAGGGGAGCUAGCGUUGUUCGGAAUUACUGGGCGUAAAGCGCGCGUAGGCGGUUUUUUAAGUCAGAGGUGAAAGCCCGGGGCUCAACCCCGGAAUUGCCUUUGAAACUGGAAAACUAGAAUCUUGGAGAGGUCAGUGGAAUUCCGAGUGUAGAGGUGAAAUUCGUAGAUAUUCGGAAGAACACCAGUGGCGAAGGCGACUGACUGGACAAGUAUUGACGCUGAGGUGCGAAAGCGUGGGGAGCAAACAGGAUUAGAAACCCGUGUAGUCC
Molecule: ribosomal RNA, 425 nt
Filed under: uncultured bacterium
Lineage: Bacteria
Description: partial 16S ribosomal RNA
Rfam family: Bacterial small subunit ribosomal RNA
Source: RNAcentral